GGUAGAGCUACUGGAUGGCUGAUGGGCCCUACCGGGUUACUGACGUCAACUAAACUCCGAAUGCCAGUCAAGGUUCAGCGUGGCAGUGAGACAGUGGGGGAUAAGCUUCAUUGUCGAGAGGGAAACAGCCCAGACCAUCAACUAAGGCCCCUAAGCGUGUGCUCAGUGGGAAAGGAUGGUUCAGUUGCGAAGACAACCAGGAGGUUGGCUUAGAAGCAGCCACCCUUGAAAGAGUGCGUAAUAGCUCACUGGUAGAGCUACUGGAUGGCUGAUGGGCCCUACCGGGUUACUGACGUCAACUAAACUCCGAAUGCCAGUCAAGGUUCAGCGUGGCAGUGAGACAGUGGGG
Molecule: ribosomal RNA, 349 nt
Filed under: Shigella flexneri
Lineage: Bacteria; Pseudomonadati; Pseudomonadota; Gammaproteobacteria; Enterobacterales; Enterobacteriaceae
Description: bacterial LSU rRNA
Rfam family: Bacterial large subunit ribosomal RNA
Source: RNAcentral